GCACGUGCCUUGCACACCUUGCCCUUUAGCCUAUCAGGGUUUAAGCGACGACAGACCUGCCUAUAAAUAGCCAACUCUCAACACCUUUCUUCUUCGUAAGAACGGUGCUAGUCAUAAAUCUGCGCCUCCGCAAGCUAGCAAGUAACAAAUUAGGGUUUUAUAGUACUUAAAUUUCUGUUUUUUGGAUACAUUAGGUUUUAAACGCGUCAUAUUCUGAUUACCGUCGUUCAAUUACAGCCAUCGACGCUGCGUUUGAGAUCUGGAGACAUGUUUGUUUUGAUUUAUGUUUUUUUUGGUUUUUUGAGUGAAAAAGAAGAGAUGGAGGUGAUGAAUAUUUCCCCAAAUGAUCUACGCUGAAUAAACUGAGCGAUUGUUAAAUCUCUUGUGAGAUUCCAAGCCAGAAUUCUGAUCCAUCCUUUUCGCUUAUUUGAUUUGAGAUUGUUUUAGUUGAAUUGGUUUGCGAUGGAAGGGAUGAUUAUUUCCCCAGAUGAACGAAGUUGAACAAACUGAGCGAUCUUUUCUCUAAGGAGAAUCAAAGCCAGAAAUCUGAUCCGUCGUUUUAGUUAUAAGUUUAUAAAUUAGAGAAUGAAAAUGUGAAAAAAUUGAAAGGGAUGAUUAUUUCUCCAGAUGAUUGAAUAUGAACAAAUUGAGCGAUCUUCUCUCUUUGUGGGAGGAUUAGUAUUAAAUUAAGAGUAAUAUAGGUAUUUUAUUUAAUAA
Long non-coding RNA from Jatropha curcas, 717 nucleotides. RefSeq lists it as uncharacterized. The record is from RefSeq and is a predicted model, not a curated record. NCBI's taxonomy places the organism in Eukaryota, Viridiplantae, Streptophyta, Magnoliopsida, Malpighiales, Euphorbiaceae.